RNAcentral lists this ribosomal RNA (253 nucleotides) under uncultured bacterium. RNAcentral describes it as "partial 16S ribosomal RNA". It matches the Rfam family "Bacterial small subunit ribosomal RNA", at positions 524 to 776 of the family's 1533-position model. The record is from RNAcentral.
UACGUAGGGGGCAAGCGUUGUCCGGAAUCAUUGGGCGUAAAGCGCGCGUAGGCGGCCCGGUAAGUCCGCUGUAAAAGUCCAGGGCUCAACCCUGGAAAGCCGGUGGAUACUGUCGGGCUAGAGUCCGGAAGAGGCGAGUGGAAUUCCUGGUGUAGCGGUGGAAUGCGUAGAUAUCAAGAGGAACACCUGCGGCGAAGGCGGGUUGCUGGGCCGACACUGACGCUGAGGCGCGAAAGCUAGGGGAGCGAACGGG